CUUCUCCCUUCUCGUCUCUCUCUCCUUUACCUCUCUCUUCCUCUCUCUCUCUUUCUUUCUCUCCCUCCCUCCUUNNNNNNNNNNUCAGCCCAUUGUUCGCCGGACUUUCCGCAGCAGCCUUGCGUCUGGCUCCUGGGAGAAGCGGAAAAUAGAAGGCAGCUUUUGUGUGCUCCACGACUUUCCCUUGCAGUCAACUUCCCCGGAGCAGACCGUGACAGAUAGAUGCAUAUGCCAAUAGGGACCAGAUCCAUGCGUACAAAACCUACAUAGAGUGCAGCCAUAUAGCCAGCGGCAUGUAAUAAUGCAGAUUAUAGCAUACCCCCGGUUGCUGACUUCUUGGGUUUAAUACCCGUAGUACAAGGGGUCCGCUCUGAAGGAAGUCUGCGCGCGAUCAAUCUUAUUCGCCAAAAGGUCUGACAGCUCCUGGCCCUUGACAACACAUUGGGAGAUUCUUGCUCUUUCCAAGACCAAAUGUUGCCGAGAAAUGAGGGAAGAGCAAGAAACGCAAGAGGACGAAGGAGGAGACCAGAUUCAGAAAAUGGGGGAAAAUAUACCAAAUCCUGGGAAGAAGGUCCAUGCGUGAAAGCUGCCACUGACUGUCCACCAGCCCACGGAAGGAGAAGGCUUGGCGAUCGGCUACUGCCUACUCUCCCUUCACGUUCAGCCCCCUUUGUGAGCAUGAACUACCGUAGUUACCGAAAAACUGCCUCAAACCUCAGAGGCGAUUUAUGAUGGACUGUCUCUUCCAGGAGUGAUUAACGACAUGGGAAGCCAUAAAAGACUGACUGUAUUUCGAAUUUGCCCCUUGGAAACGGCGUCCCGCCGCCUCUUAUUUGGAUGCCUAGCUCCGCUGGCCUGUAUUUAAAGCAACCCCCGCACAAUGUAACAGCCUUUAGCUUCUUUCUUCUGACCCUGGGAGGGAAAGUGUGGGAGUAGAGAGGUCCCCAGUGCCAAAGAGAGGAACGUCUUUCUCCUUUGAGCUGCCUUGGAGGAGAGAGACGUUGAGGCAGGAGAAGGGGAGAGAUACACCGAGGGAGAAAGGGAAAG
This is a long non-coding RNA of Vombatus ursinus (common wombat), 1047 nucleotides long. Lineage: Eukaryota; Metazoa; Chordata; Mammalia; Diprotodontia; Vombatidae. The record is from Ensembl.